AUUCCUACGGGAGGCAGCAGUGAGGAAUAUUGGUCAAUGGCCGGAAGGCUGAACCAGCCAAGCCGCGUGAAGGACGAAGGUGCCAAGCAUUGUAAACUUCUUUUGUCAAGGGACAAAAUCAGGCUCGAGAGCCUGACCGAGGGUACUUGAAGAAAAAGCAUCGGCUAACUCCGUGCCAGCAGCCGCGGUAAUACGUAGGGAGCAAGCGUUAUCCGGAUUUAUUGGGUGUAAAGGGUGCGUAGACGGGUAUAUAAGUUAGUUGUGAAAUCCCUCGGCUCAACUGAGGAACUGCAACUAAAACUGUA
Molecule: ribosomal RNA, 305 nt
Filed under: uncultured bacterium
Lineage: Bacteria
Description: bacterial SSU rRNA
Rfam family: Bacterial small subunit ribosomal RNA
Source: RNAcentral